Molecule: ribosomal RNA, 486 nt
Filed under: uncultured bacterium
Lineage: Bacteria
Description: partial 16S ribosomal RNA
Rfam family: Bacterial small subunit ribosomal RNA
Source: RNAcentral
AUUGAACGCUGGCGGCAUGCCUUACACAUGCAAGUCGAACGGCAGCACGGGUGCUUGCACCUGGUGGCGAGUGGCGAACGGGUGAGUAAUACAUCGGAACAUGUCCUGUAGUGGGGGAUAGCCCGGCGAAAGCCGGAUUAAUACCGCAUACGAUCCACGGAUGAAAGCGGGGGACCUUCGGGCCUCGCGCUAUAGGGUUGGCCGAUGGCUGAUUAGCUAGUUGGUGGGGUAAAGGCCUACCAAGGCGACGAUCAGUAGCUGGUCUGAGAGGACGACCAGCCACACUGGGACUGAGACACGGCCCAGACUCCUACGGUAGGCAGCAGUGGGGAAUUUUGGACAAUGGGCGAAAGCCUGAUCCAGCAAUGCCGCGUGUGUGAAGAAGGCCUUCGGGUUGUAAAGCACUUUUGUCCGGAAAGAAAUCCUUGGCUCUAAUACAGUCGGGGGAUGACGGUACCGGAAGAAUAAGCACCGGCUAACUACGUG